ACAGUUCAAAUUUCCGCUCAAAUUGAAAGACUGCGGCGUCAAAAAUAGCUGCAUGAAUAUAGUAUUUAAAAUAUAUUUUAAAGAUUUAAGACCUUUAAAUAUCUACUCAGAUUAAAAGUAGAAAGUUAAUCGACGCCCGAUUUAGAUACGAUAACUAAACUUUACGGUCAUGAGUACUUGGAGAAUGGCAGGACUGAAUUACGUAAACUACUCGAACAUAGCGGCUCGUACUUUACGCAAAUCUCUGAAAGGAAACUUAAAGGAGGAAGCAUCCAAACGUGAUAAAUCGUUAAUCAGAUAUUUCUAUUGGGCUAAUGGCGAAAUUUUACCUGCCGGUCAAAAGCCCACGGCGGAUAAGGAAAGAACUACAACUUAGUUAUUGGUUGUGUUAUUCGAUUAAUACAUGAUUACUUUUG
This is an RNA transcript of Bombyx mori (domestic silkworm), 416 nucleotides long. RefSeq lists it as uncharacterized. The transcript has 3 exons. The record is from RefSeq and is a predicted model, not a curated record. Lineage: Eukaryota; Metazoa; Arthropoda; Insecta; Lepidoptera; Bombycidae.